Molecule: ribosomal RNA, 269 nt
Filed under: uncultured prokaryote
Description: partial 16S ribosomal RNA
Rfam family: Bacterial small subunit ribosomal RNA
Source: RNAcentral
UACGUAGGGUACGAGCGUUGUCCGGAAUUAUUGGGCGUAAAGAGCUCGUAGGCGGUUUGUCGCGUCUGCCGUGAAAAUCCGGGGCUCAACCCCGGACUUGCAGUGGGUACGGGCAGACUAGAGUGUGGUAGGGGAGACUGGAAUUCCUGGUGUAGCGGUGAAAUGCGCAGAUAUCAGGAGGAACACCGAUGGCGAAGGCAGGUCUCUGGGCCACUACUGACGCUGAGAAGCGAAAGCAUGGGGAGCGAACAGGAUUAGAUACCCUGGUA